UGGUGGAGUGAUUUGUCUGGUUAAUUCCGUUAACGAACGAGACCUCAGCCUGCUAAUUAGUAAGUCUCAUCAUUUUGAUGGGUACGAGCUUCUUAGAGGGACUAUCGGUUUCCAACCGAUGGAAGUAUGAGGCAAUAACA
RNAcentral lists this ribosomal RNA (140 nucleotides) under uncultured eukaryote. Its description in RNAcentral is "partial 18S ribosomal RNA". It matches the Rfam family "Eukaryotic small subunit ribosomal RNA", at positions 1299 to 1458 of the family's 1831-position model. The record is from RNAcentral.